This 229-nucleotide long non-coding RNA is filed under the name Malus domestica (apple). RNAcentral's name for it is "long non-coding RNA (MDOM_LNC013449)". Lineage: Eukaryota; Viridiplantae; Streptophyta; Magnoliopsida; Rosales; Rosaceae. The record is from RNAcentral.
CCUGGGGAUAGGUGUUAUUGUGACGAUAUACUGAGUUAUCGCGAUAAUGCCCCUUAUUCUUUUUAUUAAAAUGAGAUUGGUGAGGAUGGAAAUCUUUCCUUUUGCCCUGGGAUUGAUAUGUUUGCUGACUUGGCGAAGCAUUAAAUGAGGCCGGGGGGUGUGCUGCUACCGUUUGGAAGGUUGAGGUCUUUUCAUUCGGUUGGAUCUGGCCUCCACUCCCUACUUGCUG